Molecule: long non-coding RNA, 375 nt
Organism: Lolium rigidum
Lineage: Eukaryota; Viridiplantae; Streptophyta; Magnoliopsida; Poales; Poaceae
Exons: 2
Source: RefSeq, a predicted model, not a curated record
GCUCCCAGCAGCCACGACGAGAAAUUGGCGGCGCGCGCCCUACUUAAGGCGAGGGAGGCAGAAAGAUAGAGAUGAAAUCCCAUACGAGGAAGGAUGGUCCUGUCAACUGGAACUCCAACUACAGCUAUCGAAUGGUUUUUCUGACCAACUUCAUCACUUGCUUAAGCUGCAUGAUCGUGCUGGCUGUGUAUUUUUACGUUGUCACUUCCGCCUUUGGCGAGUAUGGUCUAUCUUGGAAUUUCAUCUUCUCGAGUGCCCUCCCAUGUCCUCUUGUUACAGGGACGAUAUAUGGCAUGUACAUCAUGAGGGACAUUUACAUGCAGUACUUUGGCAUGAUGGGACCAGCCCCUCUGAAGGGGCGAUAAUUAUUUGGUA